This is an RNA transcript of Melanotaenia boesemani (Boeseman's rainbowfish), 1880 nucleotides long. It is a transcript of the gene named transmembrane protein 109, with no coding region annotated. The record is from RefSeq and is a predicted model, not a curated record. The transcript has 4 exons. Lineage: Eukaryota; Metazoa; Chordata; Actinopteri; Atheriniformes; Melanotaeniidae.
GCCCUGCAGGUGGCAGUCACCCCUUCUCUUUCAUACAGUGUUUUUCCACAUCCUGUUGGAAAACUUUCUUCCUGCUUCCCACCUUGUUGUAGGUGUGAGUCUCUGUUGUUGGAGUCAAACUCUCACAAUGUUUUGUUUUUUUAAGCGGAAGUUUUUUUGUGGGGUUUUCGUGUUUGUUGUUUUGGUGUUUUCCGUUUCGGGGGAGAAAGUCUUGGAGAGCCGCUCUGGGUUCAUCCAGGAGCUCCGGGAAGCUGCGGCUGACCUGGCAGGGGAGGGGAGGAUCCUCCUGGGCAGCCUGGCAGAGCAGCAGACGGUGCUGUCGGUCCAGAAGGCUUUCUCUCAGGUCCUGGGUGUUGUUGCAGGAAGUCUGGCUGGUGGUCUGAACGUUCUGCUGCAGUACAUGUCCCACUUCCUGCACGCUGCCGGGAUCCACGGGGGCUUUCCCAUCAGAAAGGUGACACCUGAGGGGCUGAUCUUUGUGGCUCAGUGGGUCCUGGUCGCUCUGCUUUGCUAUUGGCUGAUCUCCCUGGUCUUCCGAUUGGUUGCCUCGGCUCUGCGGCGCGCCCUGUGGCUGCUGAAGGUGGGCGUGGCCAUCGGCUGUUUCGGGCUGAUCCUGAGCGACCACCGGGCAGGAACAGAGACCAUGGUGGUGCGGCUCGCCAUCCUGGUGUGCGUCUGCGUGCUGCUGGGGGUGGGAACCUCAGGUGGGUCCGUGGCGGCAGAUAAAACGGCUCGUCUGGAGGAGCAGGUGAAGAUCCUGGAGCGACGUCUCAGGGACAUGGAGAGGUGGACUCGGACAGAGGAGUGAGGGAGGAGGCUGCAGAUGAUGGAGCUGUUGCUCCUCCUGAACUUUUCAUGUUUUAAUCUUCAUUGUUCUGACUGACACACGUUCAAACUGUUUGGAUGGGAUGACUGACUAUAGGGAGAGAAAUAAUUACAUGUCCUUUUCACUUCUCCCGUCCCUUCAGAAACACAGAUCAAUCCGCUGAAAUCAGAGGAAAACGACUGAAGCUGAAAGUUUUCCACGUAUCACAGUAAUCCUCUGCUGGUUCUGCUGCUCCAUCAUGGAGAACCUGCCCCCGACCGCACAGCAACACAUGGACGUUCUCCAUGUCCAUGUAUAGGUUCUCUCCAGGUUCUCCAGCCUCCUCCCACAGUCCAGAGACAUGAUGUCAGGUUAACUGGUGGUUCUGAUCUGACCUGAGGAACGAGUGAAUGGCUGUUUGUGAUGGACUGCUGACCUGUCCAGGUGGGAUAGGCUCCGCCCCCUGUGACUCUGGGUUUCCAUCCUGUUUACAGAAGCUGUUUCAGGAAGAGUUCUGAUUGGCUGAGAGGAGCAGUCAAUGGAAGCAGCUUGUCAGACACAAGAAAAAGAAGGAAACACACACGUUUCUGCCCAUCAACACUUUUUGGAUGCAGCUGUGGGUGUGGUCACAUGAUCAGAGCAGGAAAUGGCCACGUGUCGGAAAACUCGUCCUCAGAGCUGUCACUCUGCUGCAGCCUCCUUCAGCUGAGGCCGCUGUGGAGCAGCAGCUCAGGUGUGUGACCACCUGUGGGGAGAGGAGUCCUCACACAGCCGGACCUCCAUAACUGUAACUGGUCUCACCGCAGGAGAAGCAGACCAAAAGUAUUUGCUCCUUAGUCCCAAUGUCUUUAGAUGAACUCAGCUGGCUUCUCAUCCGGUUCUGAGGAAAAACCAAACCAGUUGACCUGCUUCUUGGAGUUUUAACAUCUGCAUCUGAUGAUCUGUGGGCUGGAGGUUUGCUUUCAGCAUGUUUCACUGGGAUCUCAAUAAAGAUAAACCAAAGAUGCUCUUCAUGUUCAGAGAUGAAAGUGUGCAGCCGGGCCUGUUUUUAUACAAUAAAAGCUGUUUGAUUCUU